Molecule: non-coding RNA, 545 nt
Organism: Macaca mulatta (Rhesus monkey)
Lineage: Eukaryota; Metazoa; Chordata; Mammalia; Primates; Cercopithecidae
Source: RefSeq, a predicted model, not a curated record
CAGGUAGAAACGAACCUUCCUUGACUUCAUAAAUUAUCAGAUGUCUGGAAUUCUGAAUUUUAUCCCUUCAAGUCCCUCCACCAGAACUUCCCAGCACGUCCAUUUUCUUCUACAGCGUGAGGGAAGGGUCAGGUUUAGCAACAUUGUCUUGGCAAACAGAUUAGCCCUCUCCAUUUAGGAAGGAGGAAGGAGGCUGCUCUCGCGGCCACAUUUCCUGGAAGACUGCCGAACACAAGUAUACGUUUCAAUGCGUUCCCAUCCCCAGAUUGGGUCAUCUGCCCUCCCGCCUCAGCUCCCCCUUGAUCAUGUAUCUUGGAGAUGACUUCACAUCAGCGUGUGUGGAUGCACGGCAUUCUUUUAGAUGGCUGCCUGGUGUUCUGUGUGUUAUACCAGCACCCCGUAAUUAUUCUAUCGGCCACGAUGGAAGGAUAUGGCAGUUGUUUCCAGCCUUUUGCUGUUACAGACAAUUCUGCAGUGAACAUCUGUGUCUAUGUCUUUGAGUACGUGUGCAACCAUGUCUAUAGAAUAAAUUCCUAGAAGUGGAA